This is a long non-coding RNA of Helicoverpa armigera (cotton bollworm), 998 nucleotides long. RefSeq lists it as uncharacterized. The transcript is spliced from 3 exons. The record is from RefSeq and is a predicted model, not a curated record. NCBI's taxonomy places the organism in Eukaryota, Metazoa, Arthropoda, Insecta, Lepidoptera, Noctuidae.
ACACAUACCACCAUAUAUGGAAUACAACAAUAACACAAUAAUUAGUAAAUGAUAUUAUUUAUAACAAAUCGAUUUAGGAAAUCAAUUAACAAAAUAUUUAACAUGGUAACAUCUACUCGGAACGCGAGUCUAUCUGUCAAAUCAAUACGUCAUUCAAAUUGUUUUCGUGCCGGUUGUUAUGUUAUGCGUAGAGUUGAAUUUAUUCCUCCGUAUUUGCUUCUGAUCGUUACAAUUUGCGUAAAAACUGUCGAGCUGAUCGUUUUCGUGCCUCCAGUGUUUUUUUUUUUAGAUAUUGGACUCUUUUCUUAGUGAUGAUAAGUGAGCACAUUGACUCGUGAGCAUUGGACUCUUGUUUUUAGUGAUAUUGUUGUUUUACUCCGGAAAAAUGUCUGCACCUGGUAGAAGUCGAGUAAACUACUCUUUGUGUCGCCGGUGUGUUAAUUGCUCUUUACGUAUAGCGCCUAAUCUUCGUAGACGUUAAUUGUAGAAAUAGAUGAACCAAUGCUUAUCCUUCUAAGAUCCUGGGUAACACCUACAUUGAUAUCUUCUGAUGACAUCCUGUGUGUGAAAUGUUUUGUAUUAUUACAAAACCAGAUAGCAUCUAACUCAAAUCUGUCACUUGUAUCCCCUGCUCGUGGACACCUAAACAUAUGCUACGCAUGUGGCUUGUCAAUAGCAAGUCGCAGAACUCAUAGAGUCAGUCAAGAUUGUCCUCAAAGGAAUGUUAUACUAAGAUGGACACAAGCACAUCAUGUGUUGCAUUUGGAACGAGUUUGUCUUCCUUGUUGGGCGGCUGCAUCAAGACAAGUCCGGAGGCAACCCGUUGCUGGCAGUAGCCAACACACUGCUGCACCGGAGACUGGUAUCAUGGAUGGAAACAUAAUUACAGAUAUGAUGAUUCCUGUACCACCACCACUGCCACCGCUUUAAUGAUAUAAGCGUUCCAGCACAAUUUCUAGACAACAUAUUCCUUGAAGAAUAAAUAUCUAUUAUUUUAA